Molecule: ribosomal RNA, 1372 nt
Filed under: Staphylococcus aureus
Lineage: Bacteria; Bacillati; Bacillota; Bacilli; Caryophanales; Staphylococcaceae
Description: bacterial SSU rRNA
Rfam family: Bacterial small subunit ribosomal RNA
Source: RNAcentral
UGCAGUCGAGCGAACGGACGAGAAGCUUGCUUCUCUGAUGUUAGCGGCGGACGGGUGAGUAACACGUGGAUAACCUACCUAUAAGACUGGGAUAACUUCGGGAAACCGGAGCUAAUACCGGAUAAUAUUUUGAACCGCAUGGUUCAAAAGUGAAAGACGGUCUUGCUGUCACUUAUAGAUGGAUCCGCGCUGCAUUAGCUAGUUGGUAAGGUAACGGCUUACCAAGGCAACGAUGCAUAGCCGACCUGAGAGGGUGAUCGGCCACACUGGAACUGAGACACGGUCCAGACUCCUACGGGAGGCAGCAGUAGGGAAUCUUCCGCAAUGGGCGAAAGCCUGACGGAGCAACGCCGCGUGAGUGAUGAAGGUCUUCGGAUCGUAAAACUCUGUUAUUAGGGAAGAACAUAUGUGUAAGUAACUGUGCACAUCUUGACGGUACCUAAUCAGAAAGCCACGGCUAACUACGUGCCAGCAGCCGCGGUAAUACGUAGGUGGCAAGCGUUAUCCGGAAUUAUUGGGCGUAAAGCGCGCGUAGGCGGUUUUUUAAGUCUGAUGUGAAAGCCCACGGCUCAACCGUGGAGGGUCAUUGGAAACUGGAAAACUUGAGUGCAGAAGAGGAAAGUGGAAUUCCAUGUGUAGCGGUGAAAUGCGCAGAGAUAUGGAGGAACACCAGUGGCGAAGGCGACUUUCUGGUCUGUAACUGACGCUGAUGUGCGAAAGCGUGGGGAUCAAACAGGAUUAGAUACCCUGGUAGUCCACGCCGUAAACGAUGAGUGCUAAGUGUUAGGGGGUUUCCGCCCCUUAGUGCUGCAGCUAACGCAUUAAGCACUCCGCCUGGGGAGUACGACCGCAAGGUUGAAACUCAAAGGAAUUGACGGGGACCCGCACAAGCGGUGGAGCAUGUGGUUUAAUUCGAAGCAACGCGAAGAACCUUACCAAAUCUUGACAUCCUUUGACAACUCUAGAGAUAGAGCUUUCCCCUUCGGGGGACAAAGUGACAGGUGGUGCAUGGUUGUCGUCAGCUCGUGUCGUGAGAUGUUGGGUUAAGUCCCGCAACGAGCGCAACCCUUAAGCUUAGUUGCCAUCAUUAAGUUGGGCACUCUAAGUUGACUGCCGGUGACAAACCGGAGGAAGGUGGGGAUGACGUCAAAUCAUCAUGCCCCUUAUGAUUUGGGCUACACACGUGCUACAAUGGACAAUACAAAGGGCAGCGAAACCGCGAGGUCAAGCAAAUCCCAUAAAGUUGUUCUCAGUUCGGAUUGUAGUCUGCAACUCGACUACAUGAAGCUGGAAUCGCUAGUAAUCGUAGAUCAGCAUGCUACGGUGAAUACGUUCCCGGGUCUUGUACACACCGCCCGUCACACCACGAGAG